RNAcentral lists this long non-coding RNA (464 nucleotides) under Gallus gallus (chicken). Its description in RNAcentral is "lncRNA (ENSGALG00010004264.1)". The record is from RNAcentral. Lineage: Eukaryota; Metazoa; Chordata; Aves; Galliformes; Phasianidae.
GUUGACAUGGGGCAAGUGCUCUGGUAGGUACAGAGCUGCCAUUAAAUGACCCCAGCAUGGCAAUUGGUGAUGCUGGCUUUGCACACUGUGCAUGUCCUUGUUACUGAGACAGGCUGUGUAAGUGAGGGGUGGGAUACCGUUUAUAUAGUUUGAACACCAAAGGGAGGAAAAGAGAGCAGAAGUGAUCCAAAUAAGCAACAUCCAGCACAUGUUUGAAAGGCAAUGGUUUCACAUCUUACCUUGAGCCAUGAGCCCUGAGAAGCUCUCAGAGAUAUUAACACCAGGUGAUUCACCUUUGCUGACUUCAGCCACCUAAAAUUUUGCAGUCUGACUUCCUAGGAUGUAUCUGCCCACCUAGAUAAAAGAGAGCCAGGACUGCAUUUGAGCUCUGAAGCCAUGGCUGCCUGCUGACCUGGAGCACUGUCUCUGAUCUGGACCAUUCCAGAAUUGUUUUAGAGGUGGAU